Molecule: long non-coding RNA, 5106 nt
Filed under: Homo sapiens (human)
Lineage: Eukaryota; Metazoa; Chordata; Mammalia; Primates; Hominidae
Description: non-protein coding lnc-NAXD-6:2
Source: RNAcentral
GUUCUCCAGCCGAGGCUCGGGACUGCUGCAGGGUGGAAAAUGAAAGUUCUGAGAGCACCUUCCGCCCCUCCGCUUCUGCACAGCCGGGGCUGCGGUGCGAGGAGCUUGGCCGCGGGGCCCGAACGAGGCGAAGGGGCCGGGGCCCUUGGGGAACCCCCUUCUCUCUUCCACUCUCCCUUAGGUAAAACCCGUGUUCCUCUCACGCUCGACCCAGCGCCUUUCCAGCUGCGGUCGAUUUGCUUCUCCGCGUGUAAGUACAGCCACCCUCAAGGUCAUUGAAAAAGUUUGCUUUAAAUGAGCGUCUGCGGAACUCGUCCUGAGGCUCUCACUGUUACAGAUUAGAGAUGGGGGCGCUUUCUAGUGGAGGAUUUUGCUUUUGCUCUUCUACUUUUGCAAGAAGCUUUUUGUCCUGAAAAGUGGACAGUCAUCUCCAUUUAUAGCUUGGAAUGAAAAUUUGACUAUGGAAGUUGCAGUCGCUACUUGAGAAAUAUUUCCUCCUUCUUUUUUUUUUUUUUUUUUUAUUUUUGACACGGAGUUUUGCUGUUGUUGCCCAAGCUGGAGAGCAGUGCGCGAUCUCGGCUCACUGCAACCUCCGCCUUCCGGUUUCAAGCGAUUCUCCUGCCUCAGCCUCCCGAGUAGGCGGGAUUACAGGUAUGUGCCACCAUGCCCGGCUAAUUUUUGUAUUUUUAGUAGACACGGGGUUUCACCAUGUUGGCCAGGCUGGUCUCGAACUCCUGACCUCGUGAUCCACCCGCUUCGGCCUCCCAGGUCCUCCUUCCGUUUUAAAGGAUAAACCUUGAAAUGCUUUUAAAAUAUGCAGCGUGUAGAAUUUGGUUAGUUGGUUGGUUGGGGUUUUUUAGAGAAAAUGAGAGGUAGAAUGGACUCUAAGUUAAACCCUGGGGGACAGUGUCACUCUGGCCGCUGGCCUGGCUGGGAAAGGCGAUGAGACCCUGAGCAGGUUAAAACCCGUGUCCUGAAGGUGUCCUGUAAAGGGAAAUAGGCCCGUUGCCUCCUUCGUAGGUGCCCUGAGACUCCGACAAGGCAGGAAUGCCAAGGUAUUUCGUACCUGCUCAGCCCUGGCAUGUCAGGUUGCUGAGACCGAGCAGUGUGGGGCUGAGGUGGAAGCGGACCUUCUGGGGCGUGGAAAGCGCACCAGGAGACCCCGGCUCCUUCUCAGCCAGCACUGCCUCAUCCUCAGAACAAAUUUAAGUCAAUUCAGCAUUUAUUCAAUGCCUGUUGCAUGCAAGUGACAACCUAAAUAACAGAGAGGAUCUCUAAAAGAAACAGAUAUUUAUUUUGCAAUAGAGCUUUGCAGUAGAAAUAUGCAUGCCAUGGUAAACUUGUGCAUAUUCAGAGAGGCAAGGAAAGCAAAGGCUUUAAAAAAAAUGAGGCGGAUUGCACAAUUGUUUGAAAAUAAUUAUCUGUGGCUACAAAGAUCCAUAACGAAGGCGAUGCCAGUUCAAAGUAGGACAGCCAGUGGCUGGGCCAUGUCCUUGCAGGACUAGUUUUUUGUGGGAGAUUGCAGUGGCCUUUGUGCAAGGUUGCGGUUUUUCCAGAGAGUCCUUUUUGUUAUCAGGCAUGCACGCGCAAGAACCCUCUCUUCAUGGCCUUCCCCGGCUCUGUUUGUCAGGGUUUUCUUAACAUUAGCGGCUCCAUUUCGAUUCUGACAAUUUUCACACAAGCUACAGUGCCUGGCCUGGGACGACACAAACAUGAGUCAGGUUUGGUGCCUGUUGGCCAGGCGCAGUGGCACACACCUGUAAUCCCACCACUCUGAGAGGCCGAGGCAGAUGGAUCCUUUGAGCCCAGGAGUUCAAGAUUAGCCUGGCAACAUAGGGAGACCCCCGUCUCUAUGAAAAUUACAGAAAAAAUUUGCCAUGCAUGGUGGUGUGCACCUGUAGUCCUAGUCCAAAGUUGCUUUGACUAUUCUGGAACAUUUACACUUCCAUAUGAAUUCUGGAAUCAAUGUAUCUAACCUCAGGAAACACAUUAAUGACAUAUAUAGUUAAAUUUAGGAAGAGUGGAUAUCUUUAUAAUAUUAAAAUGUCCCAUUUAUGAACAUGGUAUACCUCUCCAUUUAUUCAGCGGGUGUUCAAGGCUCACCUAGAAUUUUUACACUUCUUUCUACUUUUUUACCAUCAGGAAGUUUAAUCACUUCCUGGAGCAUGCUUUUUGAUUCUCCAAAUUUUACCCCCUGUCUGCUUCUCUCACCUGAGCUCUUUGUCCAUUUCUUCAUCCACCUACUAAGCCUUUCUACAUGGAUGUCUCAAUAUGGCAACCCACCACAUCGUUCAUCUGCCCUUCUGUAAAUGCAGAGUCAUUCAUUCUUUCACCUUCUUUAUAACCAUAUCCAAUUCAUCACCAAGCCCAAUGGAUUUUCCCUUCUAAAUAAAUCCCUCUAACAUCUUCUCUCUCUUUUCCCACAGACGCCCACUUGUCUGGAACCUUCUUACACCUAAAUAGUUAGAAUCCACUCCUAUUUGGUCUCCUUAACUCCAAGCUCCUGCCGUCCCAAUCACUGUCAGACUAACCUUUCAUAACCACUGCUUUCUCUACCCAGAGACCUGCCACGGCUCCCUACUUUCUAUCUCCACAAGUCCAAAUCCUGCCCCCCGCCACACACACACACACACACUUACCACCCUUUUUACAGUAGCUCUCCCGCCUCCUUUAGCUCCUGUUGCCCUGUGUGUGGCUUAUUUACAGGUUUGAUGGUGCAGUUUCCUUCUCUAGGGUGUUAGCUCCAUGGGGAAGCAGCUUCUUCUGUGUUGUUCACCACUGUGCCUGGUGAACACCACUGCACCUAGCACACAAUGGGCACUGAAGAAGGCACUGAGUCGCAGAAGAAUGAAUGAAUUCCCCUCCCUGGUGAGGCCAGAAGCAACAUCCUGUAAGCAUAUCAUGACCAGCUAUUCUCCACUUCAUUGCUCACUGAGUUUGCCCACUUGAAAAGCCCUCCAACCCCUCAUCUGUGCAGGUUUGGAAUUCUGUGCAGGACUCAGGGAUUCCAUGAGGUGCAGCCCAGGCACACCCCCUUCUAAUCCUCUCCCUCUGGGGAGACCUUUCCUGCUCCUUCAUAUGAGUUUCUACCACCCUGCUGGCCUCUUCGAUGCAGUUUAGCCCCUGACAAUGACUAACGGACUCAUUUGACUCUCAUCAUCUCUAGUAAUUUAAAAAUUCCCUAGGGUCAGGGAGCAGGUCCUAACCUCAUUCAACACCUCACCCAGUGCCUUGUCCCUUUCUCAGCACAUUCUUCUACUCAGUAAAUGUUUGAAGAAGCCUCAUGAGGGCAGGAAUCUUUGUGUUUUGUUUCUCUUAUGUCUCCCAAGUACCUGGCCCUGGAAGGCAAUUGAUGCUCAAUCAAUACACAUUUUAAUAAAUUCGCUAGUGAACUGAAACACCACCUGAAACACUGCUGCUUUUAGAGUUUGUGGAGGGAGGGACUGUUCCCUGCACCUACCCCAGUGACUGGCACCUGGAAUUCACCGAGCAAGUUGGUUGAAAAAGUUAAAGGAAUUUUCCAGCACUUUGAAAACUAAACCAAGAGAAUGUCUCCAUAUCAAAUUUCAGCCACUCCUUAUAAAAAUGUCUUAAAGGCUGUAAAUCACCGUAUUCACCUGCAGGAAGCAGUGUUGAGGAAGGAGGUAGUAUAGGGUUAAGGGUCUAUUUAAACCAGCUGCUUAGGGCCAAGUUAGAUGUUUAUUCUGUCUAGUUUAAACCACUGGCUUAACAGGGUACUUAAUUUUCCAGUUUCAUCAAAGAAAUGUGCUGUGAGGCCAAGAAAAUUAUGUAGUUCAUUUUUUUAAAAGAGAUGCAAACUGAGAAAUUCUGUGACCAUUAACAGUCUCAUUAAAGAAAUAAGAAAAUAUGAUUGUUUCUCUUAGAUUUUGCAAAAUGGCUAAGGAGCAUUUUUAGACACUUUGUUGUAGAACAACUCUCUUUUAAGCUACUUUCCUCCUUUCUUAAAAACAAAAUAUAGGCCGGGUGUGGUGGCUCACACUUGCAAUCCCAGCACUUUGGGAGGCUGAGGCAGAUGGAUCACCUGAGGUCAGGAGUUCGAGACCAGCCUGGCCAACAUGGUGAAACCCCAUCUCUACUAAAAGUACAAAAAUUAGCUGGGCGUGAUGGUAGGCACCUGUAAUCCCAGCUACUUGGGAGGCUGAGGCACGAGAAUCGCUUGAAUCCAGGAGGCAGAGGUUACAGUGAGCCGAGGUCAUGCCACUGCACUCCAGCCUGGUGGUCAGAGCGAGACUUUGGCUCAAAAAAAAAAAAAAUGUAUUAUCCAUUUAUUAUGUACUCAUUCAGCAGAUAGGAGCAAAAGCGCCCAUUCUACUCUUAAGUCCCAACCCAGAAAUAGAGCAGUGAGGGAAACUGACAGCAUCCUGGGCCUCAGCACCUGCUGGGAGAAAGAGCCAACAAAAUACACAGCAACACACAGGAUAUAGCACCCUUGGUGUUGAUUAAACGCUAGAUGAAGAAAAGGGAGGAGGAGACGGGAGGAAUGCAGGCUGAGGCGGUGGCAGGGGGCUCCAUUUUAAACAGGAUGUCGACAAAGAUAGAAUUUCAGCGAGUGCUAGAAUGAGGUAAGGACUUACAUCAACAAUCUGCCCGCACCAUUUCUUCUUAGAUUUCAGAAACUGUUUUCGUUUGAUUCAAUACUGGUGCCUUCCUUCGGUUCAUUUUCUGUUUAUCAUAAAAAUUAUCCUAGGUCUUCAAAACUAAUUUAAUGGAAUUGUAUAGAAAUGGAAAUAAAAGUGACUACAAGCUUCAAAAAGGUAGAUUUUGGGUAUAAAGACAAUCUUAUAUAUUUUUUUCUUUUUCAAGACAAAGUCUCACGUUGUCAUCCAGGUUAGAGUGUAGUGGCACGAUCUAGGCUCACUGCAACUUCUGCCUCCCCGAUUCAAGCGAUUCUUGUGUGUCAGCCUCCUGAGUAGCUGGGACCACGAGCGUGCACCACCACGCCUGGCUAAUUUUUGUAUUUUUAGUAGAGAUGGGGUUUUGCCAUGUUGGCCAAGCUGGUCUCAAACUCCUGGCCCCAAGUGAUACACCUGUCUUGGCCUCCCAAAGUGCUGGGAUUACAGGCGUGAGCCACCAUGCCUGGCCAAA